CAAGUGGUGCGACGAACCAGGGCUUGCCCUGGGGCCAAGCCGCGAACGGGUGAGUAACACGUGAGUAAUCUGCCCCGAUGACCGGGACAACCCGAGGAAACUCGGGCUAAUACCGGAUGUGGUGCACGGGUAUAAGCCUGUGUACUAAAGGAAGCUUCGGCCUCCGCAUUGGGAGGAGCUCGCGGCCCAUUAGCUUGUUGGUGGGGUAACGGCCUACCAAGGCAACGAUGGGUAGCUGGUCUGAGAGGACGAUCAGCCACACUGGGACUGAGACACGGCCCAGACUCCUACGGGAGGCAGCAGUGGGGAAUCUUGCGCAAUGCGCGAAAGCGUGACGCAGCAACGCCGCGUGGGGGAAGACGGCCUUCGGGUUGUAAACCCCUUUCAGGAGGGACGAAGGUUCACCGGUGAAUAGCCGUGUGGAUUGACGGUACCUCCACAAGAAGCUCCGGCUAACUACGUGCCAGCAGCCGCGGUAAUACGUAGGGAGCAAGCGUUGUCCGGAAUCAUUGGGCGUAAAGCGCGCGUAGGUGGCUUCAUAAGUCCGUUGUGAAAGUCAAAGGCUCAACCUUUGAAAGCCGAUGGAUACUGUGAAGCUAGAGUACGGAAGAGGCGAGUGGAAUUCCUGGUGUAGCGGUGGAAUGCGCAGAUAUCAGGAGGAACACCAAUAGCGAAGGCAGCUCGCUGGGACGUUACUGACACUGAGGCGCGAAAGCGUGGGGAGCGAACAGGAUUAGAUACCCUGGUAGUCCACGCCGUAAACGAUGGGCACUAGGUGUGGGAGGUGUCGACUCCUCCC
Molecule: ribosomal RNA, 799 nt
Filed under: uncultured Actinomycetes bacterium
Lineage: Bacteria; Bacillati; Actinomycetota; Actinomycetes
Description: bacterial SSU rRNA
Rfam family: Bacterial small subunit ribosomal RNA
Source: RNAcentral